GGGGGUUCUCGGAGGUGGGCGUGUCUUCUGGGAAGGCUGCGGAGUCCCCCUGGGAUGAAGCCCAGAGAUUAGCUCAGGAGAGAAACAUCUGAUCCCCCACGUGGAGGCCCCCCUCCCCCAGUCCAGGGUCGCAGUGGGAGGCGGCAGAUUGGCCCUGCUCUUCCGAACGUAAACAUGCACUGCUGGCCUGGCCCCUCAGUCCGGCUGCCAGGCCUCUGCCCAGCCCUCUCCUGCGGCCGCUCCAGCGUGGCCGCCCUUUGGCCUUUCACCUUCGACAUUCUGCGCACCCGCUCUGGCCUCUUCCGGCAUCCGGCUGUGGGAGCCCCAGGGAUUCGGUCACCCCAGGCCUCAUCCCUGUGUGUCCUCAUGGGCGCAGUCUAGAAAGGCACAGGGGAGCGGAGGCAGAGGCAGGGCUGGCUGCCCCCCGGGCUGUUUUAUUACUACUGUUGUCAUUGUUACCGCCAGUGUGACCGGGAAGCUGAGGAAAGUUGAGAACGCAGAGGAAAUGCGUCGCCUCUGGGACACCUUGACCUCAGGUCCUGGACUAGACUCCGAAGCUUUGGGAUAUAGUUCACAUACCAUGCAAUCCACCCAUUUAAAGUGUACAAUUCAUGGAGUUGGGCAACCAUCACCACUCUCUGAUUUUUGAACAUUUUCAUCACCCUUAUAAGAAUGCCUGUACUGGUUAGUAAUCACUCCGUUUCCAUCCAUCCUCUAGCCCUACACUUUCCAUCUCUUUAGAGCUGCCUAUUCUAGAUAUUUCCUAUAAAUGGAAUCAUACAAUAUAUGAGCUUUUGUGACUGGCUUCUUUGACUUAGUAUAAUGUUUUUGAUGUCAUCCACGUGUGGUAUUUAUUAGUAUUAUAUUUAUUUUUGUGGCUGAUAUUCCAUUGGAUAUAUAGCACAUUUUAUCUAUUCAUCCACUGAUGGGCAUUGGGUUAUUUCUACCUUUGGCUCUUGUUAGUAAUGCUGCUAUGAACAUUUUUGUACAAGUAUGAGCUUUACUACCCAAGUUCAAUUCUUUUUGGUAUAUACCUAGGAGUGGAAUUUCCAGGACAUAUGGAAACUCUAUGCUUAACAUUUUGAGGAACUGCCAAACUCCCUCUCAGGUGGCUGCACCAUUUUACAUUCCCAACGGCAGUGUAAGAGGGUUAUGAUUUCUCUGCAUUCUUGCCGACACUUGUAAUUAUCCACCUUUUUGAUUCUAGCCACCCCAGUGGGUGUGAAGUGAUUUAUCACUGUGGUUUUAAUUUGCAUUUCCUUAAUGAUUAGGGAUGUUGAACAUCUUUUCAUGUUGGCUGUUUGUAUAUGUUCUGUGGAGAAAUGUCUAUUCAGAUCUUUUGCCCAAUUUAAAAAAAUUGAAGUAUGGUUGAUUUACAAUGCUGUGUUAGUUUCAGGUGUACAGCAUCCUUUGCCACUUUUUAAGUGGCAGAUGUGGUUAGAAAGAAGAUGCUGCUUCUGCCUUUAGCCACUCAGACCUCAUCUAACUCCCAGUCCUGUAUCUUCCCCGUGGCCCCAACUCCCUCCCUCCCUCCCACCUUUCCUCCAGCACCCAGGGGACCAACAGCCCAUCUCAAUCUACAACAGCUUCCUAAUACUCUCUUCACACUUGAAGGACUGAGAAAGACCCUCAAGGACCCUUCUCCGACUAAGGGAAGCCUUGCUGGGCCCACUUGAACAGAAAAAUGACUGGCAGCUGCUGUGGGAAGACACAUUUUCUCAACAUUAUACCAACUUUAAAACAUACAGAAAAAUGGAGAGAAUGGUACACUGGCGGCCUGCCCAGCCUUAGAUUUGACAAUUAACGUGUUGUUCUAUUUACUUUAUCACAUAUCACUCCCUCCCUCCCACCCUCUACCCCUUCAUCAACCUGUGUUAUUUUUUGGAUGCAGCAAUCAGUACCUGUGCCCUCAAAACACUUCAGCAUGGACAUCACUACCUAGAGCUCAAUAUUUUGUUUCUUUGUUGCUGGGGAGGAGAGUGACCUUGCCGUGUAAGAAACAGACAAGUCUUCUGUGUACAUUCCUUGAAUUUUAAGAAAUGCAGACAUCUGUGUAAUCAAACCUAAAGCAUCACUCUCAACCCCAGAAACUGGAAGGCAGACAAUUUCAAGUUAUCUGUCUUGCUAGAUACCUAUUUGGAUAUUCAAGUACCUUUAGUCACUGACCCCUCAGAUAGGAUCCUACAAACUUCCUGUUUUCCUCCUACGAAUAGAGGCCUGCUUCCCUCCCAAUGCUCAAUCCCACAUCUCAUUCCAAUCUCCUGUUGAUGAAGAUUAUCUCAUGCUUUGUAGAAACUUAUCCGUGAUGGAGGGGCAGGGGGUGAGGAAGAGGCAGGGCAAGAAAGGGAUUGUCAGGACGAUGCAGAAUCUCUAAGGCUGAGGAGGAAGAGUCAGUGGAGGGGAAGGAAGGAAGGCUGAGGUGCAAGGCCCUGGAUGGCAAAAUGUGCUUCAGCCUCAGGACCUUUGCAUGUGCAGCCCCCCCCCUGCUAUGUUCUCCCUUGGCUUUCUGAACGGUGAGGUCCAUCAUCCUUCAGAGCUGAGUUCAAAUGCUACCUUUUCAGAGAAGAUGACACCUCAGCUACAACUACCAGCCUUUUACUAUUGCCUGUUCAUUUAUUUGGUGGUGCUUACCUCAGUCUGUCAUUAUUAUUUUCGUCUCUUCCUUGUCCAUCGCACUCCCCUCUCUCCCCUAGAGUAUUAGAUUUAGGAGGGCAGAGACUAUGAUUGCUUCAUCCUGUUAACUCCAGCAUCGGGUCUAAAACACAGUAAGAAAUCAGCACAUGUUUAUUCAGGGCAUGUAUGGUUCCAGGGACUGGGACAUGGGGACCAGUGGGAGUCCUCUGGGAGUUCCAUAUAAGGUCUCUAAAAAGUCAGAGGUAGGUUUGGAGAGGAGGGGGGUCCCUGAUCUGAGCCCAGCAGACCGGGGCUCCUCUGGCUGAAAUCGGGUUCUCUGCCAUUGAAUCGGCUCCGAGGCACGCCGCCACUGCGGCCCAGAGGGAUGGGGUUCAGGAAGGGGGUGUCGAGGUCUUGACAUGCUUCAAAGUCCCCUCUGACCCUGAGGAUCCAGCGAGGCUCAGGGGUGCAUACCGUGCGCGGGGAGGCGGCGGCAAUGCGGGAUCCGCACCUGCCCCUGGUCCUCGGCAGCAUCGCGCGCAGAGGCCAGGGAGCACUUCACCCGGCGGGCAAGACCCGUGCGCCCUUCCGGCUGCGCCAGGCCCUGCGCUCGCGGGGCGGCAAGGAGCUCUCAGGCCGCACCACGUGCGCUCCCAACCCCUUCCCGGUCCAGCACCAGCGCAGCGGCACCCGCGGAGUUCUACCUGCGCCACAGGGACGGAUGCCUGCACUCUGCGCAGGAAGUGGGGCGCGAUCCGUGUGCCACGGGUGGAAGUUGUGGGGCAGAACGCGGGGUGGGCAGGAGUGGGGCCUGGGAGGGUCCGAGAGCGGCUGAAGAACAGGAGAUGCCCUGGAGGCUGAAGGACGCCAAGCAGUGGUGCUCGACCACGUGCAUCGCACUAGAAAGCGGGAGACGACUGGGCGGGGCCGGAGGGCGGGGCCUGGGAGGAGGUCUAGGAGGCGCGGUCCUCAAGGUCCGGGGCUCUUCCUUUAAAGCUUCAGUGAUGGUGCUAACCCUGUGCACCCGUCCUGGAAGGUGAUGGUGCACCUGGGAGGGCGCGGGUCUCGGGUUGAGGGUGGAGCCUGAAGGGAUCCGGGCUCCAAGGCAGGAUGGGAGGCAACGUGGGAGCAGGGGGUAAAAGGAGGCUGUGCCACGGUGCGUGGCUACCUGCAUCAGUCCUGGAGGCUGGAGAAUCAGGGGGAACGGGCUGGGAUGAGGCCCCGAGUUCAUGGGGGAAUGGACAUAAAGACAGUGGUGCAUCACGCACCCUAAGAGCGCCGCAGUGGGGGUGCUAUGGGGACACAGCCGAUUGAGAAGGCCCAGGAGCUGGGAAGGCGAUUUGUAUGGCUGCGUCCUUGGCCACCUGAGUAACUCUCCCAGGGCUUCCCUCCUCAGCGCGAGGCGUUGGACCUGGCCACUACCAGCUCGGAUCCCAGGCGGGUGGCCACUGCCGGUCCUGGUGCGGACGCCCUGGUACCACAGCAGUCUGGGGCAAUAGGAGGCUGAGCGCACAUUCUCCAGGGUGUAGACCAAGGGCUAGUCUGGGGUCUUGAGGAGACACUUGAGUACCCACUGUGUGCUAUGCACAAUUCCAGCCACUUCAGGGCAUAGCAGGGGACAAAACAGACCCAAAUCCCUGCUCUGGUGGGGCAGGCCAACAAUAUAGAUGAAGAAAUAAAAGUAUACAGUAUGCGCAAUGGUGGCAAGUGCUGGGGAUGUGUGCGCGGGGAAGGGGUUGCUGUUUUAGAUUGGGAGGCCUCCUGAUGAAGGUGACAUUUGGAUGAAGAAUGGAAGGAGGUGACCAGUGCUUCAGCCGGGAGAGCCUCUCUGGAAGAGCAUGUGCAAAGGCCCUGAGGCAGUAAUUUACUUGGUCCCGCACAAGAUGCAAUGCCUUCCCUGAGAUUCUGCCACCCCAAAGAUGGCUCUCACAUUGUUGGAGCUUCUGUGACGAGCUCCCUGAAGACAUGGUUUGACAAAAAUUCCACAACCCAGAGGAAAAGUUUGCACUCUUCUUGCACCACAUAGCAAAAUGUGUGACUGGCUUAGAGUGUGAACUGGCCUGUCAUGCAAAGAGGAAUCUCCCUUAGAUCACCCAAAGCCAGUGGCUGUGAUCAGCUGUAGGUACUUCUGAUGUCAAGCUGGCAUGAAGACUGGAGGGAAUGUUGGCAGGGGCAGCUAGGAGCUGGCAUAGACCGAGAGGAAGAGGUAACAUCCCAUUAUGGGGAAACAUCAAGAGACCAGAAACAGUUCCAAUGAGCCAGACUCCUGGAAAAUUAGACAAGGGCUGCUUCAGACAGCAUCAGGCAGUAGGCUCUUUUGGCGAUUCUUGUAAUAAUCACUAACUGCUCUCUCUGGAUGUGGAUACUUAGGGUUCAGAGUUCAAAGCUGUAGCAAUAGAACCUCGAGUCGGUCAGGGUGAGAGCAACCUACCCUGGGCAGGUGUUGACGUGUGGGACAAACCAGAACUGGUCCAGUUCCAAGACAAGGGUGCAGGGUGUGUUAGAAAGAGGCGUUCCCCCCGAGCCUGGAAUUACGACCACAGGCAUGCUUACCUUUGAUCACAGUUCAGUGCUACCGUGAUAUGCACUGAAUUGUACCUGAGACUGCUCUCUGUACGUCUGGCUUGGUUUCUGCGUAACUGCAGCAUUUAAGGUCAGCUUGAAUAGAAACUUGACUCCUGGAAGAGGCCUUCAGGAGGAUAUUAUACAAUGUUUAUUUUUUUUAAAUUCAGGAAGUAUUUAUUGAGCACCUACCAUGUACUUAUUUUUUUCUAGUAAUUUAUGACCCUAUGCUGGACACUAUGUUGCUGCUUUUUGAAAGGAUGGAUUAUUAUAAUUUUUAAAAUUGCCACAUAGUCUGUUUACAAUGUGUCAAUUUCUGGUAUAAUAACAAUAAUUUUUCAGACAUACAUGUACAUACAUAUAUUGGUUUUCAUAUUCUUUUUC
Molecule: non-coding RNA, 5559 nt
Organism: Vicugna pacos (alpaca)
Lineage: Eukaryota; Metazoa; Chordata; Mammalia; Artiodactyla; Camelidae
Source: RefSeq, a predicted model, not a curated record